UACAGAGGGUGCGAGCGUUAAUCGGAAUUACUGGGCGUAAAGGGCGCGUAGGCGGUGAUAUGAGUGUGAUGUGAAAGCCCCGGGCUUAACCUGGGAAGUGCAUCGCAAACGAUAUGACUGGAGUAUAUGAGAGGGUGGCGGAAUUUCCGGUGUAGCGGUGAAAUGCGUAGAGAUCGGAAGGAACGUCAAUGGCGAAGGCAGCCACCUGGCAUAAUACUGACGCUGAGGCGCGAAAGCGUGGGGAGCGAACAGG
This 253-nucleotide ribosomal RNA is filed under the name uncultured bacterium. RNAcentral describes it as "partial 16S ribosomal RNA". It matches the Rfam family "Bacterial small subunit ribosomal RNA", at positions 524 to 776 of the family's 1533-position model. The record is from RNAcentral.